CCGCGUGUCCAUUUCUCUCAUUCCCCCUCUCACAAACUGAAAUUUUCAUCUCCCUCCCACUCGUGAGAUAAAAAACCUAAACCAUCCCCUCUCUCUCGAUCUCCCGCGCGUCCCUUUCUCUCUCUAUCUCUCAAACCCUCUCUCACGAAUACUCCCCUCUCACGAACCCAUCUUCUCUCCCCAGCCACCCCCUGUCUCUCAAUCUCAUGAAGACUCCCCUCUCACGACAUAAUCUGCGUCUAUUUUAGCAUGUUAUGUCAGAACCCUUUGAGCCAUCACCUUUCAUGCCUCCUGUUACCAAGGGGUUUGAUAACGACUUUGAUACAACGACUAGCAGGCAACAAAGAAGCCAAGUUGCUGCCUUAGUUAGAUCAUCAACUAGUGAAAAAGAGGAUGGUUCAAAGGAGAGCAACCUGGUGAAGAUUAGAUAAAAGUUGUGGUACGUUGCUUCCAUUCUUUACUACCAGCCACUCACUAUCUGAGACGUUUGUCUGCUAAGCAUGUUUGCAUGCCAGGUUCAAAAAAGGCCUUUGAACAAGGAGCUGUCUCGAAAAGAAGAGGAUAUUGUAACCAUCUAUGAUAAUGCAUACUUAACUGUUCAUGAGCCAAAGCUAAAGGUUUCCUUUUUGCUUGCAUUACUCCUAUCCUUAUUGCAUGGAUAUAUUCAGAGAUUCUGGAGUAUAAUAGAUCUUCAUCUCCUCCCAAAGUGUGUUAUUUCUUACUAUCUUGUGGUGGAUGAUAGUGUCCAUGGCCAAUAGAAGAUCAUGAGCUCAAGGUGAAGGACUCCAAGAUGCUUCUUUUUAGUGAGAAACCAGUUACUAUCUUCAGUGUUAGCCAUGUGCAGUAAGCUUUCGGAUCAAAGCGAAGCUGAGGAUAGGGUGUUAGUUGAUGGAAAAUUAAUAACCAGUAGAGGCACAUCCAUGGAGUUCUCGCUUGUGAUUGUCGAGAAGCUAUUUGGCUGCGAGAAGGCAUUGUAUCUUGUUGUCAAUGAGAACUUUAAAUAGACAUAACUAUUAUGUUGGUAUUGUACUUUUGUAAAUGGAUUAAAAUGAAUGAAUGAAUGAUUCAGCCA
This is a long non-coding RNA of Magnolia sinica, 1072 nucleotides long. RefSeq lists it as uncharacterized. The transcript has 6 exons. The record is from RefSeq and is a predicted model, not a curated record. NCBI's taxonomy places the organism in Eukaryota, Viridiplantae, Streptophyta, Magnoliopsida, Magnoliales, Magnoliaceae.